GCACUUUAAAAACAUUGAUAAGUUCUUCCCAACUCUUCUCCCACAUAUACAUCUAAAGCAUUAUAUUUUAAGCUUUGGAUAGUAAAGUUUUCUACCAAAUAUUUACAUUCCCACUGUAGACUCAGGGUUAUGCAAGUUACUGUGGACAUUGUUCAAGAAGUAUUAGACUGAUUCAUGCAUUUAAGGAAUUAUGGUUAAAAGGAACAGUCAAUAGAGAACAAUACAAUAUUACAUAUGUAAUUACUGUGCGUGCCAGAUUGUUUGGGGAAAAAGCAGGAAGAUUAAUGAGUAGGUGGGCAGUUAAAGUUUGUUGGGAGAAAUGGGCCGUUAGUUGAAGGAUGCACUUUAUUUGGACAGUUAAUAGAGAGGUCAGUCUUCUUUUUGGUCCCCUUCCAAUGAGUACUUUUACUAUUAUGAAUAACAACUAGUGAGAAUUAAUCAUUUAAUCUCUUUCUGAAGAACAUCAGCACCGUAAUGGCCGUAGCUGGAACAGUGUUACUUCUAAGAAGUGUUCGGAUGACAUCAAAAUUUACAAGUUCUUCAGAUAUUCCAGUAGAAUUUAUACGAAAGAAUGUUAAACUACGUGGACGAUUACGCCGAAUAACUGAGAAUGGCUUAGAAAUUGAGCAUAUUCCUAUUACUUUACCUAUCAUAUCUUCAUGGAAAAAAGAGCCCUGUGGUGUUUUGUUGGUUAAACUGGCAGGAGUAGAACUCACUGAAACUGGGAAGGUGUGGUUACAAAAAGAGUUAAAACCUUCCCAAUUGCUAUGGUUUCAACUUCUUGGAAAGGAGAAUUCGGUGCUCUUUUGCUAUCUUCUAGUGAAUAAGGGUAGGUAUUUUAGUGUGAGUCUGAAUGAAGAAAUUUUGAGAAGAGGCCUUGGCAAAACUGUUCUUGUUAAAGGGCUAGACUAUGAUUCUAAAAUCUAUUGGACAAUUCACAGAAACUUACUUAAAGCUGAAUUAACAGCCUUAAAAAAAAGAGAAGGAAUAUGGAAGGAAGAAUCUGAAGAAAGUUAUUUGGAAAAAUUCAAAGGCUCCUGGAGAGAAAUAUGGAAAAAAGACAGUUAUUUUAAAAAAAUUGGAUCAGAUUUCAAUUUGAAAAAAGAAAGUUAUUAUGAGAAAUUUAGAAGGACUUAUGACACAUGGAAAGACAACAUAAAUAACUACUCCUUUAUAUUGAAGUUCAGAGAACUUAUGAAUCGCAUACACUUUCGUAGAAAAGGGUGAACUAUUCCAAGGGGUCUGGAGGUGACCCACUCAGAAAAGAGUAAAAUAUGUAAAUAUGUAGAUGUUUUCAUUGAGUUGAAAUGGAAAUUUCUCUGAAUGAUCUAAGUUGCACUCUGAUGGUAUUUAAAUAUUUAAGAGAUGAUUGUUUUAAAUGUAAUAGAACAAUUUAAGCAAGUUGUAAUUAAUGUAAUAUGCUUUUAGGAAAAAUGAAAUACUCUAUAAAGUCACCAGGAUAAAGGAUAUAUACCUGUAGUGCUAAUAUUUGAAAAGAGAGUUUAACUGUUGGACACUGUUAUUUUCGGCAUCCAUAUUUAAUUUUUGUUGAAAGAAUAUUUGUUGACUUUUCCAGUUUUAUCAAUUUUGAUUACUUGUAUUGUGAUCUCUGUCAAAUAAA
This is an RNA transcript of Enhydra lutris kenyoni (northern sea otter), 1621 nucleotides long. It is a transcript of the gene named chromosome unknown C3orf33 homolog, with no coding region annotated. The transcript has 5 exons. NCBI's taxonomy places the organism in Eukaryota, Metazoa, Chordata, Mammalia, Carnivora, Mustelidae. The record is from RefSeq and is a predicted model, not a curated record.